RNAcentral lists this long non-coding RNA (1837 nucleotides) under Rhinolophus ferrumequinum (greater horseshoe bat). RNAcentral describes it as "lncRNA (ENSRFEG00010004539.1)". The record is from RNAcentral. Lineage: Eukaryota; Metazoa; Chordata; Mammalia; Chiroptera; Rhinolophidae.
CUUUUGUUGGGCCCACCCCACACUCAUGCCCCGCCACAGGCGCUGAGAGCUGGCACCCAACUUCUGGAAGUUGGAAGGAUGAACAAUUUUCCUACCAUGGAGGCUAAUCACUAAGUUGAAUGUCGCUCAAAGAAAAAGCAGCCAGCCACAGAACAGAGACAAAGAGACACCGUCAAGAUCGGUCAAAGUCCUGACACGCCCAGUCCUGAGGCCAUUCGCUUCUUCACCUGCACGCUCGGAGUCGGAGGGUGGAAUCGGCCUGGGAGCCCCCAUUCAACUGCAGCACCCAGGCCACGCGUCAGGCGAGGGUCGUUCUGAAUGUAGGUGGAGAUGGGGCCUGGAGAAGGAACGGUUUAAAAAGAAGGGAAACAUUCAUUAUGAGAAUGGCUGGGCACAUGUUGAUAAGAGGAGUGAAACCUGUACCAACCAACAUCGUACUGAAAGCCAGUAAUUCAGAAUAUGCUACUGGCAAGCUGAAAAUGUGUGUUUCCACCUGAAUUUUCUUCACUGUAUGUGAUGUGAGGAGGCAAUAUUUGCCACAAGAACAUUAUGAACAUCAACAACAUGGAUGGAUCUAGAGGAUAUUGUGCUAAGUGAAAGAAGUCAGACUGAGAAAGACAAAUACCACGUGACAUCAUUUAUAUGUGGAAUCUAAAGAACAAAAUAAACGAACAAAACAGUCUCAUAGAUACAGAGAACAAACUGAUGAUUACCAUAUGGGAGGGGGGUUGGGGGCUGGGUGAAAAAUGUGAAGGAAUUAAGAAGUACAAAUUGGUAGUUACAAAAUAGUCACAGGGAUGUAAAGUACAGGAUGGGGAAUAUUGUCAAUGAUGUAAAAACUAUAGUGUCAGGUGGGCACUAGACUUACUGGGGAGAUCACAAAUUAUAUAAAUGUCUACUCACUAUGCUGUACACCCGAAACUAAUGUAAAAUAAUAUUGGGUAUCAACUAUAAUUGAAAAACAAAAUAGCCGCAGGAUAUAAAGUACAGCAUAGGGAAUAUAGUCAAUAAUGUAAUAACUAUACGUGGUGUAAUAGACUUAUGGGGGUGAUCACUUGGUUAUCUAAUCACUAUGUUGUUUGGUACAUAUGAAACUAGUAUUGUAUGGCAACGGUGAUGAGCAUAAAUUUUUUAAAAAUUUAAAAAAUUUUGAAGUUUACAUUUGUACUCUAACUCUAAAUUAAUUUAGGGAUAGUUUAAUCAUCUUUUUAAUCUCAAUGUCAAACACUGUACCAGGACACAUAAUAGGGGCUCAGCUAAUGUUUGAUAAAUGAAUAAAUGGGUCCUUUUGCUCCCUUGGGAACAGGCCAGAACAUUUGGCUAAACUGAAGUGUGAGUAGCAUUUAUGUACAGAAGUCAUGACCUUUUAGGAAAAGAGAUAUUAAAGAAACAUGUUCUCUAAGAAAAGCAGUUUGGUCAGGAGUACGACUCUACUUGUGAUUUUAAAUUAUUAAUGAACAGUUAGCUAACUGAAAUUUCUGAACACUCCAAACAAGGAUUGGUCAGUCUUAACCAGGCUAAACAGGAAAUCCUAGUAAGUACGAUUAGUGCAAGUCUCAUUGCUAGAUUAUAUCAUACUAGAACAUUUAUUAGUACCUUGAAUUUAAGACAAAUCAUACUUUACACUGUCUCCCAAUUAUUAUAAAUUGUCCUCUGCCAUCUUAUAAGUCAUGUCAAAUCAUUAACCUUGGCCUUUUCAUUAGUUUUGGCACCAUACUGCUAUGUACUCUUCAAAAUCUAUCUUUAUUCACCUACUGUUUUCCAAAGUAAAAUUUCAAAGUUGCUCACCAGCAAAGACUUUAUUGGAUGCUCAGGUUCAUUUCAAUCAGUAUUUAAU